Molecule: non-coding RNA, 1743 nt
Organism: Pogona vitticeps (central bearded dragon)
Lineage: Eukaryota; Metazoa; Chordata; Lepidosauria; Squamata; Agamidae
Source: RefSeq, a predicted model, not a curated record
GGGCCCUUAUUGGGUGGUUGGGGGAAGGAGGGGAAGAUGGCGGCGUGAGAGGAAGAAGUGGAGCGGUAGCCGCGGGCUGCGGCCCGGGGGCCUUAGCUGAGGUCCAUGCGUGCACCAAGUAGUUGGGCAGUCAAACUGGGCAGCUGGAUUACUGAGGAUUGAAAAGCAUGAAUUCUUGGUUAUGAAAUUUGUGUAGCCACUUAACAAAAGAACGUAUGUGAUGAUCUUGAGAUGAUGGGAAACUGGACAAAAACUUAAACAUUGAAAUUCAACAGAUGUGAAUCCUUUCCUGUUGAUUCAUCAAAGACUGGUUGUGAAGCCUGGCCUAUUUACAAAUUCACUUGUGGUGAAGAAAACGCCGUCCUUUAUCUCCAUAAGGGAAAAUGAAGAAACAUUGUUCUUUUUCUGUUUCAACUUUUUUAACAUAAAAUUCAAAAUAUGAACCAUGUAAUAGACAGUAUAUAUAAUAUAUAUACUGUAUACACAGUAUAUAUAUUAUUGCCCUUGCAGAGCAGCCAUCCAAAUGAAUGGUUGACAUUUCAAAGAGACAGCAUCCACUAAUGCCUACUCUUUGAUCAGUGUUUUUGCACUCUAGAAAGGACUGUUCAUAUAGAUACAGACAAAAUGCCUGUUCCAAUUGACAACUUGCUCCCUUCAGAAUAUCCUAGUUAAGUAUUUGCCUGCUCCCUACAUAACAUUUGGAAUGCUUUGAUUAGAUAUCGAAAACCUUUUUGUAUAAAAGAUCCAGGUAGAAAAGUCUAAAUAUAUUUGUAUUCUAAAGUGAAUAAUAACUUUCAAAAGGAAAUGAAAAGAACUUGGAAAAUUCCUCAGUGAACAUUUUUCUUCUGUAGAGGGUCACUAUAUAGAUAAGCAUCUUGAUGACUGAGUAAAGCAGCUGAUGCACAGCAGCUGAUAGUUAUUUGUUUUAUAAACUAAUUUUCAAAACUGAAACAAAUGAUCCAAACAGUCUGCUCAUAUAAGCCUGCAUAAAUGCUGGAAAGGGAGAUGUUACUGUGCGUCACUGUUCUUGUAAGUCCCUAUCCAAGCCUUCAAAAUUUAAACGUAUAAAAGCAGUCCCAGAGAUACUUAAGGUUAUAUGGUAUACCCCCAAUGUUCCCUAGGGAAUUUGACUGCAAAAGGAACAAUAUCUUUGCACAAGUCAUGCACUUACCCAAAGGGAACAGUGGAUAUAAAGACUUAUGUAAAACUUUCCAUCAGAGGAUCAGAAGAGUAGACAUGCUCGGGAAGGGCUUCAUCACUAGUUCUCUAGUGCGUCAUCCACAUUUAAGGUGGACAUCAUGAUUUCUACGUGUUUACAGAACAGUCUUGUCUCUCUUAUUUGUGAUUUGUACAGGACCCACCCACCCCCGCCAUUAAUAGUUGAUCUUUAGCCACACUUCACCAGGGUAUGUAGCUUCCUGGUUUGGUUUUUAAGUAACACAUUUUCGUGUCAGACCCCGGAGCCCUUUGUAAUGCACCUUACAUCAGUCUCACUAAAUGUGAAUUUACGUUUGCCACUGUUUUGUUAAAAUUGCCUGUCUGGAUUUAAAAUAGGAGUACAUAUAAUAGACAGUUGCAGCUAACAAAAUCUUUGAAUGCUAUUUGAUGGUUUGAGUUAGUUAGUGAAAGCAAUAACACCAUAUUGCAAAGGAAAGAUGAACAAAAGUAGUGACUGAUUAAUUGGAAUGCCUAUUUCCUCCUUUGAAAAUCACUAAAAUAGUUUUAAUAGGAACAGCAUACUAA